This 134-nucleotide small nucleolar RNA is filed under the name Monodon monoceros (narwhal). RNAcentral describes it as "Small nucleolar RNA SNORA13 (ENSMMNG00015000919.1)". It matches the Rfam family "Small nucleolar RNA SNORA13". Rfam says of the family: ACA13 is a member of the H/ACA class of snoRNA that guide the sites of modification of uridines to pseudouridines. The record is from Rfam by way of RNAcentral. Lineage: Eukaryota; Metazoa; Chordata; Mammalia; Artiodactyla; Monodontidae.
CGCCUUUGUGUUGCCCGUUCACUUUUGGAAACUAGUGGAUGAGGUGUCAAAAAAGGCGUAAACCAAACACUUGUGCAGCCUUUUCCUCCCCUAGUAUUUGACAUCUUGGUGUAGGAGCUGCACAAGUAACAGUU